GGUUAAGCGACUAAGCGUACACGGUGGAUGCCCUGGCAGUCAGAGGCGAUGAAGGACGUGCUAAUCUGCGAAAAGCGUCGGUAAGGUGAUAUGAACCGUUACAGCCGGCGAUGUCCGAAUGGGGAAACCCAGUGCAAUUCGUUGCACUAUCGUUAACUGAAUACAUAGGUUAACGAGGCGAACCGGGGGAACUGAAACAUCUAAGUACCCCGAGGAAAAGAAAUCAACCGAGAUUCCCCCAGUAGCGGCGAGCGAACGGGGAGCAGCCCAGAGUCUGAAUCAGCUUGUGUGUUAGUGGAACGGUCUGGAAAGUCCGACGGUACAGGGUGAUAGUCCCGUACACCAAAAUGCACAGGUUGUGAACUCGAAGAGUAGGGCGGGACACGUGGUAUCCUGUCUGAAUAUGGGGGGACCAUCCUCCAAGGCUAAAUACUCCUGACUGACCGAUAGUGAACCAGUACCGUGAGGGAAAGGCGAAAAGAACCCCGGCGAGGGGAGUGAAAAAGAACCUGAAACCGUGUACGUACAAGCAGUGGGAGCACCUUCGGGUGUGACUGCGUACCUUUUGUAUAAUGGGUCAGCGACUUAUAUUCUGUAGCAAGGUUAACCGUAUAGGGGAGCCGCAGGGAAACCGAGUCUUAACUGGGCGUUAAGUUGCAGGGUAUAGACCCGAAACCCGGUGAUCUAGCCAUGGGCAGGUUGAAGGUUGGGUAACACUAACUGGAGGACCGAACCGACUAAUGUUGAAAAAUUAGCGGAUGACUUGUGGCUGGGGGUGAAAGGCCAAUCAAACCGGGAGAUAGCUGGUUCUCCCCGAAAGCUAUUUAGGUAGCGCCUCGUGAACUCAUCUUCGGGGGUAGAGCACUGUUUCGGCUAGGGGGUCAUCCCGACUUACCAACCCGAUGCAAACUACGAAUACCGAAGAAUGUUAUCACGGGAGACACACGGCGGGUGCUAACGUCCGUCGUGAAGAGGGAAACAACCCAGACCGCCAGCUAAGGUCCCAAAGUCAUGGUUAAGUGGGAAACGAUGUGGGAAGGCACAGACAGCCAGGAUGUUGGCUUAGAAGCAGCCAUCAUUUAAAGAAAGCGUAAUAGCUCACUGGUCGAGUCGGCCUGCGCGGAAGAUGUAACGGGGCUAAACCAUGCACCGAAGCUGCGGCAGCGACACUAUGUGUUGUUGGGUAGGGGAGCGUUCUGUAAGCCUGCGAAGGUGUGCUGUGAGGCAUGCUGGAGGUAUCAGAAGUGCGAAUGCUGACAUAAGUAACGAUAAAGCGGGUGAAAAGCCCGCUCGCCGGAAGACCAAGGGUUCCUGUCCAACGUUAAUCGGGGCAGGGUGAGUCGACCCCUAAGGCGAGGCCGAAAGGCGUAGUCGAUGGGAAACAGGUUAAUAUUCCUGUACUUGGUGUUACUGCGAAGGGGGGACGGAGAAGGCUAUGUUAGCCGGGCGACGGUUGUCCCGGUUUAAGCAUGUAGGCUGGUUAUCCAGGCAAAUCCGGAUAAUCAAGGCUGAGGUGUGAUGACGAGGCACUACGGUGCUGAAGUAACAAAUGCCCUGCUUCCAGGAAAAGCCUCUAAGCAUCAGGUAACAUCAAAUCGUACCCCAAACCGACACAGGUGGUCAGGUAGAGAAUACCAAGGCGCUUGAGAGAACUCGGGUGAAGGAACUAGGCAAAAUGGUGCCGUAACUUCGGGAGAAGGCACGCUGGUGUGUAGGUGAAGCCCCUGCGGGUGGAGCUGAGACCAGUCGAAGAUACCAGCUGGCUGCAACUGUUUAUUAAAAACACAGCACUGUGCAAACACGAAAGUGGACGUAUACGGUGUGACGCCUGCCCGGUGCCGGAAGGUUAAUUGAUGGGGUUAUCCGUAAGGAGAAGCUCUUGAUCGAAGCCCCGGUAAACGGCGGCCGUAACUAUAACGGUCCUAAGGUAGCGAAAUUCCUUGUCGGGUAAGUUCCGACCUGCACGAAUGGCGUAAUGAUGGCCAGGCUGUCUCCACCCGAGACUCAGUGAAAUUGAACUCGCUGUGAAGAUGCAGUGUACCCGCGGCAAGACGGAAAGACCCCGUGAACCUUUACUAUAGCUUGACACUGAACAUUGAGCCUUGAUGUGUAGGAUAGGUGGGAGGCUUUGAAGCGUGGACGCCAGUCUGCGUGGAGCCAACCUUGAAAUACCACCCUUUAAUGUUUGAUGUUCUAACGUUGGCCCCUUAUCGGGGUUGCGGACAGUGUCUGGUGGGUAGUUUGACUGGGGCGGUCUCCUCCCAAAGCGUAACGGAGGAGCACGAAGGUUAGCUAAUCCUGGUCGGACAUCAGGAGGUUAGUGCAAUGGCAUAAGCUAGCUUGACUGCGAGCGUGACGGCGCGAGCAGGUGCGAAAGCAGGUCAUAGUGAUCCGGUGGUUCUGAAUGGAAGGGCCAUCGCUCAACGGAUAAAAGGUACUCCGGGGAUAACAGGCUGAUACCGCCCAAGAGUUCAUAUCGACGGCGGUGUUUGGCACCUCGAUGUCGGCUCAUCACAUCCUGGGGCUGAAGUAGGUCCCAAGGGUAUGGCUGUUCGCCAUUUAAAGUGGUACGCGAGCUGGGUUUAGAACGUCGUGAGACAGUUCGGUCCCUAUCUGCCGUGGGCGCUGGAGAAUUGAGGGGGGCUGCUCCUAGUACGAGAGGACCGGAGUGGACGCAUCACUGGUGUUCGGGUUGUCAUGCCAAUGGCACUGCCCGGUAGCUAAAUGCGGAAGAGAUAAGUGCUGAAAGCAUCUAAGCACGAAACUUGCCCCGAGAUGAGUUCUCCCUGAGACUUUAAGUCUCCUGAAGGAACGUUGAAGACGACGACGUUGAUAGGCCGGGUGUGUAAGCGCAGCGAUGCGUUGAGCUAACCGGUACUAAUGAACCGUGAGGCUUAACCUU
Molecule: ribosomal RNA, 2902 nt
Filed under: Klebsiella pneumoniae
Lineage: Bacteria; Pseudomonadati; Pseudomonadota; Gammaproteobacteria; Enterobacterales; Enterobacteriaceae
Description: 23S ribosomal RNA
Rfam family: Bacterial large subunit ribosomal RNA
Source: RNAcentral